Molecule: long non-coding RNA, 1060 nt
Organism: Homarus americanus (American lobster)
Lineage: Eukaryota; Metazoa; Arthropoda; Malacostraca; Decapoda; Nephropidae
Exons: 2
Source: RefSeq, a predicted model, not a curated record
GCCACAGUAGCACAGCCUCGCGCCGCCCUGUACCUGAGCCAUACUGUAUACCUCAACUGUGGCGCCAACACUCAGAUAGAACACCUUGUGGCCCCGGGGACUGAUGGUGUUGUGUUGUACCUCAGGAGAGCUGCCGUGUGAACUGUGUAUAGUGUUGGGAUGAUCGGUUCACUUAAAAUGGACUCGAUUUGUCCAGCUUUCAGUAUGGCUAGUACGUCCCUCAACUCGGUGUGACCUCCAUCAGCCAGCUCUUGACUGCGUUAUGCGCGAUGUGAAGUGUUGACGCAGAGUGUACGUGUGUGUUUGCUUGUCUUAGUGGAGUGAACACAUUGACUUGAAUCCUCUACCCAUUACAUAUACCUGCAUAUAUAUCUUAACAAACAUAAUAGAAAUAUAUAAACGACUGGAUGGGAUAGUUUUGUGAUUUUUUUUUUUUACUUGGGAAAAAACGAGGUAAAACAGAUUAUAACUGUUUGUGAAUUGUAUUAAAAAGACACUCGGCCAUUGUAAUUCUUUUUUCUUUUCUUUUUACAGUUAAAUGAAAGGCCACAACAUACAGUGACAGGAAAGUGAGGUGUUGGGGAAAAUUCAUGACAAGUCUGUAAACAUAUGAUCUGUCGGCUCUUAGUGACAAGAACAGUGCCAUCCUUUAGCGGCGAAAACAGUGCCAUCCUUUAGCGGCGAAAACAGUGCCUAUCCCUUUAGUAACACUGAAAAGAACAGUGAACAGUGACUAUCUGUUAGCGCAGUGACAAGAACAAUGAACAGUGUUUAUCUGUUAGCGCAGUGACAAGAACAAUGAACAGUAUCUAGCCGUUAGCGCAGUGAGAAAAAAACCCGGUAAACAGUACAUAUCCGUAAGCACAAGAGACGAGACUAGUGCCAUUAAUUUAGAUCAAUAAUAAAAAAAACACUCCCAUCCCUUAGUGCCAGUAACAGUGCCUAGCCGUGAUCACCAUAAAGGCUAACCAGCGCCUAUACCUAUCCAUUAGCUCCCAGUGACAACAUCAGCGUCACUCCUAAGUGUUAGUGACGUGAACAAUAUAAUUUGUUUUUUUUU